Molecule: long non-coding RNA, 1617 nt
Organism: Anser cygnoides (Swan goose)
Lineage: Eukaryota; Metazoa; Chordata; Aves; Anseriformes; Anatidae
Source: Ensembl
AACACAUUGCCAUCAGGGCAAGCGCUAUACAUCAUCAGGAGAUCUGGACAACAUCUUUUAUACAGAUGGAGCAGCUAGACAUUACUUGCACAGUCAAAAUUGCAACGGAUGGUUGUUUUUAUUGGUAGCCAUCAGGAGAAUCUUUCCAAGCUGCCUAGAAAGAUGGUUGUGUGGAAAAUGUAUUAGGGUGGAAUGAGGCCAUGCUAUUUAUAGAGUGAAUCUGCUGAAAUAGUUCUUUGUGUGAUAAUUCUUUGUCAAAAUUAUCUGAGUCAACACAGCACCUCUUUACCUCUUUUGGAAGAUGGAGCAUUAGAGCAAUUUGGUAUGUAGAAACAGAAAAAUAUCAUUCACGAUCACACAUCAGCUUAGUGAUGCAGUUUGGUCUUCAAUCCAGAUCUCACGGCUCUCAUAGCCGGCUGCUGUUAGGCUAUAGGAUAAAACCCAAAAAAGGAAAUUAUUCAGCACAAGAGAACAUUUGCGAAACAGUCCAUUCACUUUGGUACCAGCUUUAGUGUUAGCUUCAAUUCAGUAAAUUUCAAAGAUCAUCAGGAGUUAUGGCCGCAGAUCAGUUUUGGUAAUAAAAUCUCAAUGUUCCACUUUCUUCAUGUAUCCCAGCUUCUUGCUGUGACUGCUUCAGUUCCUAAGGGAGUGUAACGAAGAAAAGCUGGGCACAGGUAGUGUUGAUUCAAUGAAUUUGCAGCUUGCUUAAAGAUCACCACUCUGCCCUAACAGGAUUUUAUGGGAAACAAAAGAAGAGAGGGGAAACGGCUUCUCUGACGGAACAGAAAUCUUCUGGCUCUGCUAACAGCAAACUUGCUGCCACGUGAUGAUACAACCCAGCAACACAUAAGUAAGCACUGAGAUCAGAUUGGUUCCACAUUCAGUGGAAAAGAAAAAACAAAACAAAACAAAAAGACAUAACCAUCGAGCACCGUUAAAUCACUGCAAUGACCUCCAAAUGAAAAGAUUUCAUGCGGGCAUCACUGGACAAAAAUCCUGUAACGAGUUUUGUCUUGGCAAUGCUCCUCCAGUCAAUGUGAGGGUCUCAAGAACCAGGGCGUGCUUGGAUGCAGAGCAUUACGUGCUCUGGCAGGAUGAGGUGCCCUGAUGAGGGAGACUGAGGUUUCCAUCCAUCACUGCUUUUUCUUCUGCAAUGAAUGUGAUUCAAGGCAUAGUACAUUUGAGUAAGAACAUUGUCCUUCAUUACCAUUUCCCUUUGCUGUUACCUCUGCCAAGUGACAGGAGAGAUAAGUUUUCACACAAAAGAGGAAAAUGAAUGCACUUUCAGCACAGACAUGCAUUUCAAAUUGGCAGUGUGCUUUCCCUAAUGCACACAACGUUAUUCCUCAAACAGAGGCAUUCAACAAACUGUGAGGUGUUUGCGUUUGAUUAUACUGCUGAAGGUUGAAAUAUAAAACAUGAGCCAGGAUUUCAAAACAUGGUAGCUGUGGCCUGGCUGAAAAUGUGUUCCUCAGCUGCUCUUUGGGCUGGAAAUGACCCAGUUGUUACAGCAUGAAGCUUAGUGCUGGCUAAUUUACGCAAUUUCUCUGAAUAGUAAAAAGAUCUGUGCAUUUUUAUACAAAUAAAGUUAUUAAUGUCGUAGUAUGGAGGGUAUCA